Molecule: long non-coding RNA, 847 nt
Organism: Triticum aestivum (bread wheat)
Lineage: Eukaryota; Viridiplantae; Streptophyta; Magnoliopsida; Poales; Poaceae
Exons: 4
Source: RefSeq, a predicted model, not a curated record
AAGGGAACUAUGGGUCCCACCUCCAGAGACUUGUCCGUUUUGCUCAAAAGCCUUGAUUUCCGAACACUGAUAACCGCACGAAGUCAUGCCCACUUGGCAUAGUGGUCGUUCCACAGGCCAUGGCGCUGGAGCACCGCUUGCUUGAACUCGUCGAGCACUUGAUUUUUCUCGUUACUCUCUUGCUCUCAUCUUCUUCCUUUCUACUACGAUCCUGUAGAUCUACUUUCUUUCAGCUCCUACUGAACGUUUCUACAACCGGUUGCCGCAAGUCGACGUCCUCGAGUAUCGACUGGUAUUACGCUAGUUUCACUGAUUCUUUCCAUGUCGCUCCAAUUUGUGGCAGCCAAGAAAACCCCAAUGAAGGUCGAUGCAGUUCAUGAAAUGGAGGAAAUCCCCUGCUUUGCAAGAAAAGAUUUCUUAAAAAGGAUUGGUAUUGCAAAAUCCGCUUUUACUCAAGUCACAGCUCCGCUUGAGACAAAAGAAGGGUCCAUUUUUGUUGUUAAUGUGAGCAACGAACAAGACACAACUUAUUUUCUGUGACUACCGAAAAGUGCGAUGCCUAACAUCAUAGAUGAAGCAGGCUUUAUCAAGAUUAUUUUGGAUCCCACUGCAGAAUUCACAUGUAAGUACACAUGCUCAGUCGAUGAUCGUGUCAUUGUCAACGGAUGGACAGAAAUACUCAAGCUGGCAAGAUUUAAAGUUGGAGAGAAACUCUUGUUCAUCAAGCACGAGGAUACUAAAGGGGGUCUCCUAUUUGUUGUUCCACUUAGAUUUAUCUUAGUUCCAACUGUAUGAAGAAACCCUAUGUGUAGGGGAACAUUGCAUGAAAAACAAAAAAAUCCUACGA